GAGCCUGAGUCUGGGGCCCACAGCAGGCCAGGCACAACUCUGCCACUCCCCAGGGAAGGAGAUGACUUUUAUCAUCAGUACAUGUCACAAGAAAACAUUUAAAAUGACACUGAAACAAUCAUUGAAAUCAUGGUGCAUGGAGGAAAAAGGUAAAGAAAACAACUUUUGGCUUGUUUUGGCAUGAGACCUUGAUACAAUUUGGGUUCCCCAAAACCAUGUGAAGGGUGGUAAAAUAGAAAUGCUCAAAACUGACUUAAAAAAAUAAACAGGCUUUACAAAAACCCUCUUUUUUCUUAACCCAGCCACUUCUCGACAUGGUCUGCACAUACAGUAGAUACAUUCAUUAUUGUCCAAGGGAAGACAGUAACUGCCUUUCAUUUUAAAGAGCUUGGUGGAGAGGCUGAAGAAAUGUGCUGCAGCUGAAGGUGAGUAGAAUGUUCCAGAGAACACAAAAGUCUAGAUGGUCUUCAGAAACAGCACUGAGCAUGAUGUGGGGAGGGUCUCUGGGAAGAGAGGUGGAGGUGGAGGAGGGUGCGGAGUCCAGAUCUGAAGCCACGGAGACUGAGGAUGGAGUUGGGUUGUCAGUGGUGAACGUGGGGGCAGGGAUCUCUCCGCCUGAGCAGUCCUGGGUUUGUCCUCAGCCUGGGAACGUUGCUCUUUCAGCAAGAGGCGAACCCUGGGCUUUGGAGACGGGGCUGGGGCUCUUUUCAGGCAUAGCAGCAGUGGGGAGACUGGGGACAGGCUUGCAAUGGAUUCCACGGGAGGGGCUUCUCUCCUGGUUCUGACUGCUUAUUAGGUGGUUAUUAAGGCAAUAAGGACUUAAGCAAACUAGAAGUUAAGGGCAGCUAAGUUCAGCCAGAUCAAAGGUAAACAAAAGGUGAGAAGGUGUCCCUUUCUCCUCAGCUACCUUUCCCCCAAGCACAGGAGGCCUCAGCUCCUGAAGCUCUGAAUUUACAGUACACAGUAGCAGACGGCUUGCCCUUUGGAAGGCUCCAUGGAAAGAAGGCUCAUCCCUGACUUGGGGCAACUUGACCGAAGUUUCUACUCUCCAGAAUCUCUUUUCUGUGGUCACCCGACUGGCAAGUGGAAGAUGGAAGCACCAAGGUUCCUGCAAAAGAUAGAUCAAGACCUUUGCUAUCAACCUUUCAGCCCAUCCCAAUGGCCUUGAAUGGCACGUGUCCUGGAAAACCAGGUCUGCUGCCUGUACGCCCGAGCGAAACCUAUGCUCAGCUGGAGAAGAGGACAGCCUUUCAGGGUUCAUGAAUGUUCUCCCUAGAACAGAUGGAAUGGCAGCUACAAUGCCCUUGGGAAUGUGAGGUCCUGGUGGAGUCUCUGGGGAAGUGAAAGAAGCUCCUUUAACUUGACUCCACUCACAGGACAAAGUGCAGGAGACAGAACAGAAUGGAUAGAAGAGGCUUCUCCUUUCUUCUUGCUCUAGAGUGAAGGAGAUGGACAGUUACCUUGAAAUGCUACGGGAAGGAUGAGCAUGGAGAGCUGCCUGUUAUUCUGAGCCAACUUCUGGCAAGAUGCUGGGUGAAUCGACUGCCUAGAAUUGAAGAACUGGCUCUCAAGCAGUUGCUGCUAAAGAAUGCCAGCAAACAAACCACACACAACUGUGGUAAGCCAGGCGGAAAUCCCUCCACCCUCUGGCAUGAGAUGGCAGUCUAGAAAGGACUCUCCAUGAGAUGCCUGGGGCCUGAGGAAGCAGAGGCAUGGACACACUGUUCUACGAUGACUCAGGGCCACCCAUGAGUGGGACAUUCGUGGGGAUGAGAUGGGAGCAGGGAGAAGCAGCAGUUGUAAUGGCCAGCCACGUGGGGACCAGUUCCGUGCCUGGCCUUUCUUUCUCUGGUGGAAGCCAUCUUGUUUUGAUCCUAAGAAAAAUGGGUGUCAUUUUAUCCAGGAAUCUAAGAAUUAUAAUAAUAAAUUAAUAAAGUGAAUGUGAUAAUCAAA
RNAcentral lists this long non-coding RNA (1953 nucleotides) under Homo sapiens (human). Its description in RNAcentral is "non-protein coding lnc-C8orf74-3:3". Lineage: Eukaryota; Metazoa; Chordata; Mammalia; Primates; Hominidae. The record is from RNAcentral.